This 327-nucleotide ribosomal RNA is filed under the name uncultured eukaryote. RNAcentral's name for it is "partial 18S ribosomal RNA". It matches the Rfam family "Eukaryotic small subunit ribosomal RNA", at positions 1470 to 1796 of the family's 1831-position model. The record is from RNAcentral.
CCCUUAGAUGUUCUGGGCCGCACGCGCGCUACACUGACGAAUGCAACGAGCUUAUAACCUUGGCCGAAAGGUCUGGGUAAUCUCCAAAUUUCGUCGUGAUGGGGAUAGAUUAUUGCAAUUAUUAAUCUUCAACGAGGAAUGCCUAGUAAGUGCAAGUCAUCAGCUUGCGUUGAUUACGUCCCUGCCCUUUGUACACACCGCCCGUCGCUCCUACCGAUUGAAUGGUCCGGUGAAGCGUUCGGACCGUGGCCUUUGGACGGUUCGCCGUCUGUUGGCUGCGGGAAGUUCGUUAAACCUUAUCAUUUAGAGGAAGGAGAAGUCGUAACA